GUGGGCAUAGCUCAGUGGUAGAGCACAAGCUUUGCAUGCACAAGAUCCUGGGUUAAAUCCCCAGUACCUCCA
RNAcentral lists this transfer RNA (72 nucleotides) under Camelus ferus (Wild Bactrian camel). It matches the Rfam family "tRNA". From Rfam's summary of the family: Transfer RNA (tRNA) molecules are approximately 80 nucleotides in length. Their secondary structure includes four short double-helical elements and three loops (D, anti-codon, and T loops). The record is from Rfam by way of RNAcentral. Lineage: Eukaryota; Metazoa; Chordata; Mammalia; Artiodactyla; Camelidae.